AAGCCCCCGAGCCGAGCAACCCCCCUCCCCUCGUUCCAUUCCCCUCCUCGCUCGAUUCGGCAGCGCCUCCUCCUCUGUUCGAUCCCUAACCCUAACCCUAAGGCGACGGCGCCGUUGCCCGCGGCCUCUCCCUUCACCGACGGCGUCGUUGCCCGCGGCCUCUCCCUUCACCGACGGCGCCGUUGCCCGCGGCCUCUCCCUUCACCGACGGCGCCAUCUCGUCCGAGUCCGAGCUGGAGGAGCACGUGUACAUCGGGGAGGAAGCAGGGCCAGCACGCCGUGGGGAGGCAGCAAGGCCAGCACGCCGUGGGGAGGCAGCAAGGCCAGCACGCCGUGGGGAGGAAGCAGGGCCAGCACGCCGUGGGGAGGCAGCAAGGCCAGCACGCCGUGGGGAGGCAGCAAGGCCAGCACGCCGUGGGGAGGAAGCAGGGCCAGCACGCCGUGGGGAGGCAGCAAGGCCAGCACGCCGUCGGUCCGUCCUUCCCUGGUUCCUCACCGAGCGCCACGAAGAGGAAGAGAUAAUGGUGAAGGAGAAGGGGAAUGAGAAGGGAAAGGGUGCUGGUAAGGAGAAUGCUGUUUUUUGUAGAUAUGCUUUCUAAUUCACUCCAAUGCUAUCAUCUUUGAUCCUAGGUACAAGAUGGGUUACAUAGAGUGGGCCUUUGGAGAACUAUAGGGAAAGGGUGCUGGCUGUCAAUAUGACGAUUCUACUAGAAUUGCUCUAAGACGGAAAACGGAGUUUUGGCUGCCUUACAAGGAGGACUAAUGGUGAUAUGGGUUCAUAAUGUCAUCACCAUGCCAUUGCCUUUGCAUGCACGCUAACGUCUUUGAAGAGGCAAUCUUCUCGUUUCCUUUUGAUCUGGAUCGAGCAAGGACAUGUCUCGACAUAUAUUCUUCGGGGUACACGUUACAUUCUGAGUGGUGGUUGCACCUGCCCUGCCAUGCGUAUCAGAGUAUAUUAAUGGCGCGACAUUAAGGAGUGCGUUGGGCCGUUGGGGCACACUACAUAUGUGUAGCCAAUGAAUGAAUGCGCAUGAGCUACCUUCCAUUAAGCA
This is a long non-coding RNA of Triticum aestivum (bread wheat), 1052 nucleotides long. RefSeq lists it as uncharacterized. Lineage: Eukaryota; Viridiplantae; Streptophyta; Magnoliopsida; Poales; Poaceae. The record is from RefSeq and is a predicted model, not a curated record. The transcript is spliced from 3 exons.